AUGGCUCAGGAUGAACGCUAGCGGCAGGCUUAACACAUGCAAGUCGAGGGGCAUCGGGAGUAGCAAUACGUUGCCGGCGACCGGCGCAAGGGUGCGUAACGCGUGAGCAACAUGCCCGUAUCAGGGGGAUAAUCCAUGGAAACGUGGUCUAAUACCCCAUAGUAAUUAUGUAAGGCAUCUUAUAUAAUUUAAAGCUUUGGUGGAUACGGAUUGGCUCGCGUGACAUUAGCUGGAUGGUAAGGUAACGGCUUACCAUGGCUACGAUGUCUAGGGGUUCUGAGAGGAAGGUCCCCCACACUGGAACUGAGACACGGUCCAGACUCCUACGGGGGGCAGCAGUGAGGAAUAUUGGACAAUGGAUGGAAAUCUGAUCCAGCCAUGCCGCGUGCAGGAAAGACGGCCCUAUGGGUUGUAAACUGCUUUUGUAUGGGAGCAAUAAGGGCUACGUGUAGUCCGAUGAGAGUACCAUACGAAUAAGCACCGGCUAACUCCGUGCCAGCCGCUGC
This 506-nucleotide ribosomal RNA is filed under the name uncultured bacterium. Its description in RNAcentral is "bacterial SSU rRNA". It matches the Rfam family "Bacterial small subunit ribosomal RNA", at positions 19 to 518 of the family's 1533-position model. The record is from RNAcentral.